GAUUAAGUUAUUAAGGGCGCACGGUGGAUGCCUUGGCACUAGAAGCCGAUGAAGGACGUUACUAACGACGAUAUGCUUUGGGGAGCUGUAAGUAAGCUUUGAUCCAGAGAUUUCCGAAUGGGGAAACCCAGCAUGAGUUAUGUCAUGUUAUCGAUAUGUGAAUACAUAGCAUAUCAGAAGGCACACCCGGAGAACUGAAACAUCUUAGUACCCGGAGGAAGAGAAAGAAAAUUCGAUUCCCUUAGUAGCGGCGAGCGAAACGGGAAGAGCCCAAACCAACAAGCUUGCUUGUUGGGGUUGUAGGACACUCUAUACGGAGUUACAAAGGACGACAUUAGACGAAUCAUCUGGAAAGAUGAAUCAAAGAAGGUAAUAAUCCUGUAGUCGAAAAUGUUGUCUCUCUUGAGUGGAUCCUGAGUACGACGGAGCACGUGAAAUUCCGUCGGAAUCUGGGAGGACCAUCUCCUAAGGCUAAAUACUCUCUAGUGACCGAUAGUGAACCAGUACCGUGAGGGAAAGGUGAAAAGCACCCCGGAAGGGGAGUGAAAUAGAACCUGAAACCGUGUGCUUACAAGUAGUCAGAGCCCGUUAAUGGGUGAUGGCGUGCCUUUUGUAGAAUGAACCGGCGAGUUACGAUUUGAUGCAAGGUUAAGCAGUAAAUGUGGAGCCGUAGCGAAAGCGAGUCUGAAUAGGGCGUUUAGUAUUUGGUCGUAGACCCGAAACCAGGUGAUCUACCCUUGGUCAGGUUGAAGUUCAGGUAACACUGAAUGGAGGACCGAACCGACUUACGUUGAAAAGUGAGCGGAUGAACUGAGGGUAGCGGAGAAAUUCCAAUCGAACCUGGAGAUAGCUGGUUCUCUCCGAAAUAGCUUUAGGGCUAGCCUCAAGUGAUGAUUAUUGGAGGUAGAGCACUGUUUGGACGAGGGGCCCCUCUCGGGUUACCGAAUUCAGACAAACUCCGAAUGCCAAUUAAUUUAACUUGGGAGUCAGAACAUGGGUGAUAAGGUCCGUGUUCGAAAGGGAAACAGCCCAGACCACCAGCUAAGGUCCCAAAAUAUAUGUUAAGUGGAAAAGGAUGUGGCGUUGCCCAGACAACUAGGAUGUUGGCUUAGAAGCAGCCAUCAUUUAAAGAGUGCGUAAUAGCUCACUAGUCGAGUGACACUGCGCCGAAAAUGUACCGGGGCUAAACAUAUUACCGAAGCUGUGGAUUGUCCUUUGGACAAUGGUAGGAGAGCGUUCUAAGGGCGUUGAAGCAUGAUCGCAAGGACAUGUGGAGCGCUUAGAAGUGAGAAUGCGGUGUGAGUAGCGAAAGACGGGUGAGAAUCCCGUCCACCGAUUGACUAAGGUUUCCAGAGGAAGGCUCGUCCGCUCUGGGUUAGUCGGGUCCUAAGCUGAGGCCGACAGGCGUAGGCGAUGGAUAACAGGUUGAUAUUCCUGUACCACCUAUAAUCGUUUUAAUCGAUGGGGGACGCAGUAGGAUAGGCGAAGCGUGCGAUUGGAUUGCACGUCUAAGCAGUAAGGCUGAGUAUCUUCGAGUCGUUGAUUUCACACUGCCGAGAAAAGCCUCUAGAUAGAAAAUAGGUGCCCGUACCGCAAACCGACACAGGUAGUCAAGAUGAGAAUUCUAAGGUGAGCGAGCGAACUCUCGUUAAGGAACUCGGCAAAAUGACCCCGUAACUUCGGGAGAAGGGGUGCUCUUUAGGGUUAACGCCCAGAAGAGCCGCAGUGAAUAGGCCCAAGCGACUGUUUAUCAAAAACACAGGUCUCUGCUAAACCGUAAGGUGAUGUAUAGGGGCUGACGCCUGCCCGGUGCUGGAAGGUUAAGAGGAGUGGUUAGCUUCUGCGAAGCUACGAAUCGAAGCCCCAGUAAACGGCGGCCGUAACUAUAACGGUCCUAAGGUAGCGAAAUUCCUUGUCGGGUAAGUUCCGACCCGCACGAAAGGCGUAACGAUUUGGGCACUGUCUCAACGAGAGACUCGGUGAAAUCAUAGUACCUGUGAAGAUGCAGGUUACCCGCGACAGGACGGAAAGACCCCGUGGAGCUUUACUGUAGCCUGAUAUUGAAAUUCGGCACAGCUUGUACAGGAUAGGUAGGAGCCUUUGAAACGUGAGCGCUAGCUUACGUGGAGGCGCUGGUGGGAUACUACCCUAGCUGUGUUGGCUUUCUAACCCGCACCACUUAUCGUGGUGGGAGACAGUGUCAGGCGGGCAGUUUGACUGGGGCGGUCGCCUCCUAAAAGGUAACGGAGGCGCUCAAAGGUUCCCUCAGAAUGGUUGGAAAUCAUUCAUAGAGUGUAAAGGCAUAAGGGAGCUUGACUGCGAGACCUACAAGUCGAGCAGGGUCGAAAGACGGACUUAGUGAUCCGGUGGUUCCGCAUGGAAGGGCCAUCGCUCAACGGAUAAAAGCUACCCCGGGGAUAACAGGCUUAUCUCCCCCAAGAGUUCACAUCGACGGGGAGGUUUGGCACCUCGAUGUCGGCUCAUCGCAUCCUGGGGCUGUAGUCGGUCCCAAGGGUUGGGCUGUUCGCCCAUUAAAGCGGUACGCGAGCUGGGUUCAGAACGUCGUGAGACAGUUCGGUCCCUAUCCGUCGUGGGCGUAGGAAAUUUGAGAGGAGCUGUCCUUAGUACGAGAGGACCGGGAUGGACAUACCUCUGGUGUACCAGUUGUCGUGCCAACGGCAUAGCUGGGUAGCUAUGUGUGGACGGGAUAAGUGCUGAAAGCAUCUAAGCAUGAAGCCCCCCUCAAGAUGAGAUUUCCCAACUUCGGUUAUAAGAUCCCUCAAAGAUGAUGAGGUUAAUAGGUUCGAGGUGGAAGCAUGGUGACAUGUGGAGCUGACGAAUACUAAUCGAUCGAAGACUUAAUCAA
This 2866-nucleotide ribosomal RNA is filed under the name Staphylococcus aureus. Its description in RNAcentral is "23S ribosomal RNA". It matches the Rfam family "Bacterial large subunit ribosomal RNA". Lineage: Bacteria; Bacillati; Bacillota; Bacilli; Caryophanales; Staphylococcaceae. The record is from RNAcentral.